RNAcentral lists this small RNA (66 nucleotides) under Arabidopsis thaliana (thale cress). RNAcentral's name for it is "ATSL222640". The record is from RNAcentral. Lineage: Eukaryota; Viridiplantae; Streptophyta; Magnoliopsida; Brassicales; Brassicaceae.
AAAAAGCAAGAGGAAGAACAACAACAACAAGGAUCUUCUACUCUAAUCAACCUCAAAUCCAACAAC